UGUAUAAAAAUGUGAUGAUCAGUAAAAUCAUGUCCGAGACCUUGAACAGGGUCUGAGCACAGCUGUAGAAAGUGUAUUAUGUACGUGUACGUGCAGUACUGUACCACAUAGCACAGUUUGAGUCCAAGAGGGACGGCAUAUACAAGAGUGGUUCCAUAUGAUUCUAAUACUGUAUUUUUACUGUACCUUUUCUAUGUCUAGAUAUGUUUAGACACACACAUCCUCACCAUUGAGUGACAGUUGCCUGCUGUAUUCACUACAGUUGCAUGCUGUGCAGGUUUGUAGCCAGGGACAAGAGCCCAGGAAACUUAAAUGUGACACUCUUUGCAAGGAUGGAGUAAACAGGAAGUGAAUAAAAUUCUAUAUUUCAACUAAAGCUCGCACUUGGGUGAAAUCUUUCAACAUAUCUUUUGUUUAAGAAAAGUCAGAACAAGAAUUUCCAAGAGAUGGGGUUUCGUUAUGUUGUCCACGCUGGUCUCGAAC
This 483-nucleotide long non-coding RNA is filed under the name Homo sapiens (human). RNAcentral's name for it is "HSALNT0355876". The record is from RNAcentral. Lineage: Eukaryota; Metazoa; Chordata; Mammalia; Primates; Hominidae.